CUGGUUUCUCUUCCUAACGAAUAAAUCUUUCACCUUUUACUAAAGAUUUCCAUGGAGAGGAACAAUUAUG
This 70-nucleotide small nuclear RNA is filed under the name Saimiri boliviensis boliviensis (Bolivian squirrel monkey). RNAcentral's name for it is "U5 spliceosomal RNA (ENSSBOG00000013942.1)". It matches the Rfam family "U5 spliceosomal RNA", at positions 6 to 75 of the family's 117-position model. Rfam says of the family: U5 RNA is a component of both types of known spliceosome. The precise function of this molecule is unknown, though it is known that the 5' loop is required for splice site selection and p220 binding, and that both the 3' stem-loop and the Sm site are important for Sm protein binding and cap methylation. The record is from Rfam by way of RNAcentral. Lineage: Eukaryota; Metazoa; Chordata; Mammalia; Primates; Cebidae.